CACAAGCCUAUUUAACGAGCCUACUCACAAGUCAGCUCGCGAGCCUGUAAUGAGCUGGUUCGCGAGCCUUAACAAACCGAAUACUAAGCUUGAGCUCGGCUCACUUAUUAAACAAGCCUAAAAACUAAGCUUAAGCUCGGCUUAUUUUUAAAGCGAGCUGAAUUGAGCCGAGUCUCGAAUAGCUCACGAACAGUUUGGUUCGUUUAUUAUAGCCUUACAUAUGGCCUAAGAAAAAGUAAAUCAUUCUCAUGUAUUAUUUUGAUACACAAACAAAAAGAAUCAAGAAAACUAGAAAGCUAUGCAUCAAUAAAAUUUAAAAAUUCUAUUUCUUACCUAGUAGCAUUAAAAUCAAUUAUCAAUUUCUUUUAGUAAAGUGAAAAGUAUCCUCACUCAAAACCAUCAAUAAUCAUAAGUUGCUUGGGGCAAAUGGUGAAAUCCAAAGGUUAAAUUGUCAAAAGAAUAGUGAACAAAAUUCCUUGUACUCUGUCAUUCAAAUUUCUGAUUAGAAAGAUAAGAAUGUGAGCUGGAAGUGGUAAAAGCUAUCUGAUCUCAGACCUUACAGAAAAUUUGGUUUUGGAAACAGCAAAAUGAGAAAAAGGAUCCAUGUGAUGACCUGCCCAGAUUGAGUUGGAUAGAGCAGACUCGAGCAAUUUAAAAUUGAAUAUCAUGCAUCCUCAAGAAGUCUACUCCUAGUGAACAGUAUAAAUUAAAGGUAAAUAAACAAAAUGGAGUAUUCUAUUAGAAAAUAAAGUCAAGAUUAGUUGUGUCACUCCAACAUAUAACAGAAGGAUAAAAGGCCAAUUUGGCCAUU
RNAcentral lists this unclassified non-coding RNA (811 nucleotides) under Hevea brasiliensis (rubber tree). Lineage: Eukaryota; Viridiplantae; Streptophyta; Magnoliopsida; Malpighiales; Euphorbiaceae. The record is from RNAcentral.